This 298-nucleotide unclassified non-coding RNA is filed under the name soil metagenome. Its description in RNAcentral is "partial contains 5.8S ribosomal RNA, internal transcribed spacer 2, and large subunit ribosomal RNA". The stretch from base 1 to 120 matches the Rfam family "5.8S ribosomal RNA", at positions 35 to 154 of the family's 154-position model. The record is from RNAcentral.
GAUGAAGAACGCAGCGAAAUGCGAUACGUAAUGUGAAUUGCAGAAUUCAGUGAAUCAUCGAGUCUUUGAACGCACAUUGCACUCCUUGGUAUUCCGAGGAGUACGCCUGUUCGAGCGUCAUUAAACUAUCAAGCUUGGCUUGGAUUUGAAUCACUGUCGAGGCAGGAUUUCAAUAUUGUCGGCAAUUGACCAUCUGUGAUGACUCACUUGGAGUUGAUUCGCCUCAAAUCGAUCAAUCAGUUGACCUCGGAUCAGGCGGGGAUACCCGCUGAACUUAAGCAUAUCAAUAAGCGGAGGA